CCUACGGGAGGCUGCAGUGGGGAAUAUUGCACAAUGGGGGAAACCCUGAUGCAGCAACGCCGCGUGAGUGAUGACGGCCUUCGGGUUGUAAAGCUCUGUCUUCAGGGACGAUAAUGACGGUACCUGAGGAGGAAGCCACGGCUAACUACGUGCCAGCAGCCGCGGUAAUACGCAGGUGGCGAGCGUUGUCCGGAUUUACUGGGCGUAAAGGGGGCGUAGGCGGAGUUUUAAGUGAGAUGUGAAAUACUCGGGCUCAACUUGAGUGCUGCAUUUCAAACUGGAAGUCUAGAGUGCAGGAGAGGAGAAUGGAAUUCCUAGUGUAGCGGUGAAAUGCGUAGAGAUUAGGAAGAACACCAGUGGCGAAGGCGAGUCUCUGGACUGUAACUGACGCUGAGGCUCGAAAGCGUGGGGAGCAAACAGGAUUAGAUACCCCAGUAGUC
RNAcentral lists this ribosomal RNA (440 nucleotides) under uncultured bacterium. RNAcentral describes it as "partial 16S ribosomal RNA". It matches the Rfam family "Bacterial small subunit ribosomal RNA", at positions 338 to 795 of the family's 1533-position model. The record is from RNAcentral.